Long non-coding RNA from Calypte anna (Anna's hummingbird), 454 nucleotides. RefSeq lists it as uncharacterized. NCBI's taxonomy places the organism in Eukaryota, Metazoa, Chordata, Aves, Apodiformes, Trochilidae. The transcript has 3 exons. The record is from RefSeq and is a predicted model, not a curated record.
CCGCCCUGGUCGCCGCGGAGGGUCGCCCGGCCGCUGCCGCCGGAGCGGUGAGCCUGGCCGUAACGCAACAGCUUUGGGCUUGCAGACGGCAGGGGAAUAAACUGAGGAGAGGGAAUAAGGCCCUGCGGAGGGACCGGCGGCAGGGGAGCGCUGCAGGGCGCUCGGCGGCAGGCCCCUACUUCGGAUCAACUCAUUAUCCCGAAUAAACGAUGUGUCAUUCCCAUUAUUUAUGUUUCACUGCAGCCAAAGUAUCUGGACCUCGUUUUGCUGUAAAAACAGAAGAAGGGUUCUUGGACUGGAUUUCUGCCACAGUGAUCUCCUUUUUCUUCUGGUUUUGCUUUCUGCCCUUUCCCAUGUUCUUUUUGGCAGAGAAGCAAUCUUUGCACAUUGCAGAACACCUAACCAACAGUGGUAGCUUUAGGUCUGGAUGUGGAGGCUGUGACUAGGGAGGCUG